Molecule: ribosomal RNA, 250 nt
Filed under: uncultured bacterium
Lineage: Bacteria
Description: partial 16S ribosomal RNA
Rfam family: Bacterial small subunit ribosomal RNA
Source: RNAcentral
UACGGAGGGUGCAAGCGUUAUCCGGAUUCACUGGGUUUAAAGGGUGCGUAGGUGGCUUUGUAAGUCAGUGGUGAAAUCUUAGAGCUUAACUCUAAAACUGCCAUUGAUACUGCUUAGCUUGAAUCAGGUCGAGGUGGAUGGAAUAUUACAUGUAGCGGUGAAAUGCUUAGAUAUGUAAUAGAACACCGAUUGCGAAGGCAGUUCACUAGGCCUGUAUUGACACUGAGGCACGAAAGCGUGGGGAGCAAAC